This 233-nucleotide ribosomal RNA is filed under the name uncultured Pasteurellales bacterium. RNAcentral describes it as "partial 16S ribosomal RNA". It matches the Rfam family "Bacterial small subunit ribosomal RNA", at positions 100 to 334 of the family's 1533-position model. The record is from RNAcentral. Lineage: Bacteria; Pseudomonadati; Pseudomonadota; Gammaproteobacteria; Pasteurellales.
GGGACGGGUGAGUAAUGCUUGGGAAUCUAGCUUAUGGAGGGGGAUAACUACGGGAAACUGUAGCUAAUACCGCGUAAUAUCGAAAGAUUAAAGUGUGGGACCUUUCGGGCCACAUGCCAUAGGAUGAGCCCAAGUGGGAUUAGGUAGUUGGUGAGGUAAAGGCUCACCAAGCCGACGAUCUCUAGCUGGUCUGAGAGGAUGACCAGCCAUACUGGGACUGAGACACGGCCCAG